GUACCCGCUGAACUUAAGCAUAUCAAUAAGCGGAGGAAAAGAAACCAACAGGGAUUGCCUCAGUAACGGCGAGUGAAGCGGCAACAGCUCAAAUUUGAAAUCUGGCGUCUUCGGCGUCCGAGUUGUAAUUUGUAGAGGAUGCUAUUGAGUUGUCACCGGUCUAAGUUCCUUGGAACAGGACGUCGCAGAGGGUGAGAAUCCCGUAUGUGACCGGCCAGACGCUCUCUGUAUAGCUCCUUCGACGAGUCGGGUUGUUUGGGAAUGCAGCCCUAAAUGGGAGGUAAAUUUCUUCUAAAGCUAAAUACCGGCCAGAGACCGAUAGCGCACAAGUAGAGUGAUCGAAAGAUGAAAAGCACUUUGGAAAGAGAGUUAAAAAGCACGUGAAAUUGUUGAAAGGGAAGCGCUUGCAAUCAGCCUCGACGGCGGCUGUUCGGCCUCUCUUCUGAGUGGUUUAUUCAGUCGCCGCCGGGCCAGCAUCAGUUCUGGCGGUCGGAUAAAGGCGUAGGGAAUGUAGCUCCUCUCGGGGAGUGUUAUAGCCCUGCGUGCAAUACGGCCUGCCGGGACUGAGGUCCGCGCUUCGGCUAGGAUGCUGGCGAAAUGGUUGUAAGCGGCCCGUCUUGAAACACGGACCAAGGAGUCUAACAUCUAUGCGAGUGUUUGGGUGUCAAACCCGUACGCGUAAUGAAAGUGAACGGAGGUGGGAACCGCAAGGUGCACCAUCGACCGAUCCUGAUGUCUUCGGAUGGAUUUGAGUAAGAGCAUAGCUGUUGGGACCCGAAAGAUGGUGAACUAUGCCUGAAUAGGGUGAAGCCAGAGGAAACUCUGGUGGAGGCUCGCAGCGGUUCUGACGUGCAAAUCGAUCGUCAAAUUUGGGUAUAGGGGCGAAAGACUAAUCGAACCAUCUAGUAGCUGGUUCCUGCCGAAGUUUCCCUCAGGAU
Molecule: ribosomal RNA, 938 nt
Filed under: Elsinoe sp.
Lineage: Eukaryota; Fungi; Ascomycota; Dothideomycetes; Myriangiales; Elsinoaceae
Description: LSU rRNA
Rfam family: Eukaryotic large subunit ribosomal RNA
Source: RNAcentral